This 358-nucleotide ribosomal RNA is filed under the name uncultured bacterium. RNAcentral describes it as "bacterial SSU rRNA". It matches the Rfam family "Bacterial small subunit ribosomal RNA", at positions 29 to 412 of the family's 1533-position model. The record is from RNAcentral.
AACGAACGCUGGCGGCAUGCCUAACACAUGCAAGUCGAACGAAGCCUUCGGGCUUAGUGGCGCACGGGUGCGUAACGCGUGGGAAUCUGCCCUUGGGUUCGGAAUAACAGUUAGAAAUGACUGCUAAUACCGGAUGAUGUCUUCGGACCAAAGAUUUAUCGCCCAAGGAUGAGCCCGCGUAGGAUUAGGUAGUUGGUGGGGUAAAGGCCUACCAAGCCGACGAUCCUUAGCUGGUCUGAGAGGAUGAUCAGCCACACUGGGACUGAGACACGGCCCAGACUCCUACGGGAGGCAGCAGGUGGGGAAUAUUGGACAAGUGGGGGCAACCCUGAUCCAGCAAUGCCGCGUGAGUGAUGAA